UACGUAGGGGGCAAGCGUUGUCCGGAUUUAUUGGGCGUAAAGCGCUCGCAGGUGGUCCGUCGCGUCGGGCGUGAAAGCCCCCGGCUCAACUGGGGAGUGUCGUGCGAUACGGGCGGACUGGAGGCCAGUAGGGGGAUGCGGAAUUCCGGGUGUAGUGGUGGAAUGCGUAGAGAUCCGGAGGAACACCAGCGGCGAAGGCGGCAUCCUGGACUGGUCCUGACACUCAUGAGCGAAAGCGUGGGGAGCGAUCCGG
RNAcentral lists this ribosomal RNA (253 nucleotides) under uncultured bacterium. RNAcentral's name for it is "partial 16S ribosomal RNA". It matches the Rfam family "Bacterial small subunit ribosomal RNA", at positions 524 to 776 of the family's 1533-position model. The record is from RNAcentral.